UGACGACCGGCAAACGGGUGCGGAACGCGUACACAACCUUCCUACAAGUGGGGAAUAGCCCAGAGAAAUUUGGAUUAAUACCCCGUAACAUAGCGAUGUGGCAUCACAUUGCUAUUAUAGCUUCGGCGCUUGUUGAUGGGUGUGCGGCUGAUUAGAUAGUUGGCGGGGUAACGGCCCACCAAGUCUACGAUCAGUAGCUGAUGUGAGAGCAUGAUCAGCCACACGGGCACUGAGACACGGCCCAGACUCCUACGGGAGGCAGCAGUGGGGAAUUUUGGACAAUGGGCGCAAGCCUGAUCCAGCAAUGCCGCGUGCAGGAAGAAGGCCUUCGGGUUGUAAACUGCUUUUGU
Molecule: ribosomal RNA, 350 nt
Filed under: uncultured bacterium
Lineage: Bacteria
Description: bacterial SSU rRNA
Rfam family: Bacterial small subunit ribosomal RNA
Source: RNAcentral